Non-coding RNA from Arabis alpina (gray rockcress), 88 nucleotides. Lineage: Eukaryota; Viridiplantae; Streptophyta; Magnoliopsida; Brassicales; Brassicaceae. The record is from Rfam.
UUUGGGAGAUGAUGACAAAAAUACGAUAUUGUCUAAGGCUAAUGCCACUGCAGAUAGAAAUGUAUUUGCACGUCAGUCUGAUCCCGUU